CAUGCGAGGUUGGUUGAAUUGGCCUCUGCGGAGACGGGCGGGGAAGGCAGGUAGAGCCGAGGGGAGGGGAGAGUCUACUCGAGUCAGGAGUGAGGUGCAGGCGCAGAGGACGACUGAGGAGGGGGAGCGGGCCAAGGGCCUAGUAGUAGGAGUGGGAGGGUAGGUACCGAAGAGGUUCCCGUCACUAACUAACUAACUAACUAAUCCUCCUCUCCCCUUCUUUGUCUAUGUCUCCCCUCCCGCCUACAGCUACCUCUAGCUCCUCCUCCUGAGGCCGCUCUGCCGCGGCCUCUACCUCCGCGGGCCGCACUCGUGCCACCGGUAGCGCCACUCGCCCUCGUCCUCGUCGUCCGUGCGCGAGUUCACCCGGGAGCUGUUCAAGCACGGGCCGCCCUCCCAGGAGAAGGCCUAGGACGUGCAGGCGGGCGGGUAGUGGUACCACGGGUGAGGGUACCCGUUAAUGGAGGGCCAGAGCGUUCACGCGCUGCUGCAUUGUAGUCGCAUGUCCCUUCUCGACCUUACCGUUCGUUCCUUAUACAACGAGGGUAUGUUCUUCUACACACGAGUCUCUGUCCACCUUCGACUUCGACAAAAUGAACUUAGACUGCUACACGGACGACGAUAUUCGCUCCUUUAGCUGUUUAAGUUGUAACCGUUCGACCAGGACCCGAGAAGCAGCUCUUCGUAUAAGGCUUCCUUCGAGUUUCCUUCGUUCUGACGUUGGUUUUAGAGGCUUACGUAAGGUUCGAAGACAUGCCGUAUGCAGCAGAGUUUCCCGUUUGACAGUAAGCACGCGAGCCGAUGUAGACUACGGACGCUUUGUGGGUUCUGGUAUAGAAGAAGUUGGCAAAGAAGAGGAUCGAGGUUUUCGGAAAGGUCACGCGGGAGUCGUCUCACCCUACUGUCUUUACCUUGUCGUCGACAUAAUAAGGCGGUCAGUAGAGACAGUAGCGUCGCACUAGUGCGUGAGCGUUUAUAUUUGUCCAGCCGGUCGUCCCCUCGAUGGGGAAGUCCGUCACGACCGUCGCUCUAGAGAAUGGUACGACUAUGUUGGGACUUCUGUUUAAGUGUGAGUUAGUGUAGUCAUCGCGUCGAGUCAUCGUCGUCGUCGUCACCCCUAAGUCAAAUGUCCUCGAAGGCUCCUCUAUCGAAGGCUCUAUAGAGACUAGACGUCCGUCGUCAAAGUCUUUGACGUUGUCUGGACUUCGUAAGAGUACUGGUCCUACUAGACUUCGAAGUUUAACUCUCAUACUUCCAGUUUGACGCAGUAGAAGUCUUAGAAGUACUACAAAGAGUCUUACUCGGCCAACUGAGGUGAGUCUUUAAUGGGUUGCUGAACCCGUAGGCCGCACAGCUCCUGCCUUAAUUCGAAUCUCUCUAACUGGACUGUCUUCUCUACCACUUCUCUAACCAUUCUGUUUACCUUUCUCUUCUUCUCGUCCACCGGCUUUCUCUUCGAGUCGGAUUUGUUUCGAGAAGACUUGUCCUGUCAUUACCACUAGUGGUUUUAAGAUCACUGGAGCUUUGUCCUGCCUUUUUAUGACCCGCUACAGAAUGUCUCAUAUUAUCCAUGAGUACCCUCGUAUAGGUCCGUCGCUGAAGUAGUAAAAGUUCGCUAGAACACUAGCCAUUCCCUUGUAUACCCUGGCAGAUGUUCCGAUUCAAAGUCGUAUGUCAACGUCGUCACUUUCAAAACUUGAGGGAACUUCCAAAACCUUGAGUCGUCAAUGUCGUCCUCGACCUCCAGGACCCGUUCUAGGCCGUGGGAGUGGACGACGACGACGACCCGCGCACGGGCCUCGCGCCGACGCACCACAUGCUCAUGUACCUCUUACCGUCGGACCUGCUGCGCGAGUUGGUGGCGGCCUUGCCGUACGGCGGCGAGCGGACCAUGCUGGCGUAGGCCCAGCGGACCCUCCACCGGUGGCGGCAGCGGAAGGAGGUGUCGCGGUCCGGCCUGGGGUAGUAGGUGGCGCUGGAGUUCGGCCGGUUGUAGGACGAGCUGGCCUUGGAGAGGUCGUUCCAGCCGCUACAGCCGGAGAGCUGCCGCGACGAGGUGGUGAGCCCGCGGCCUCCACCUCCUCCGGUCGUCGUCAGGUGCUACCACUCCUUGUGCUGCGGGCACCCGUGCAAGACGAUGUAACUGGGCCUCAUGGUCGCCUGCCCGCGGCACAGCCGGUUCAGUCUGCACAUGCGCGAGCCGCACCAUCACGACGUCGACGAGUGCCCCGCCUGCAGCGGCGAGCCCGAGCGGGUACGGCACCUCUGGCGUGACCUCCUUCUGCCGCCACUGAGGAAGCGCCUCUACGACCUGCGUUGGCGGCCCGUCACCGGCGGUCUCCUCCGAUCCCUCGACCGGCGUGAACGCGACGCCACGCGUCUCUACGCUGCGUCCCUGGCCGGGCCCGACGCGCUCGUGUAGGAGGGCCGCGACCUCGCCUAGUUCCUGUAGCGACGGUCUCGGCGGUCCCUCUGCUUCCGGGAAGAGGCCUGUCGUAGUAGCAGUCGUCGGGGUCCGGUGAAGGAGACGGGGUAAGAAGUCCUUUAGUACCUCCUGGGUACGCAGCGGCGGCUACCCAUGUGGAUGCUGGCCUUCCGCUAGCUCUGUACCCACUCGUACUUCCUGUUCAGCGGGUACUGGUUGGAGGCCGACGGCUCGUUCUCGGAGUAGGGGUUGGUGAGCGAGGCCAGCCGGUAGUACCUUACCUCGAGGUUCUUGUCUACUACUACGUGCGUUACAAUCUAUCUGGAACACGUCUUUAUCAGAACCCUUUAUAUCGAAAACACAACACAACACAACACAUCCAUGUGACUUUACACGUACACUAAGGAGUUUUCUUAUAGUUUUACACUUAUUUGUUUUUUUUACGAGAAUAGUAAACAAAAAUAAACGUAAUUUUACCUUUUGUAGGUGGUCCCUUUGGAUGACAAGAUAAUUUUUGUGUAAACAAAAGGACCCCACAUGACAAAACGUCUGAACAAAGAGUAUAGUCAAGAACGAUUUAGAGUCAGCUGACUCUGGAGCAAUUCAGAGUCAGUUACGAUAUGAGUAUAUCAUGAUGUUAAAUACGGUCAAGUAUUCGUAAAAGGUGUUUGAUAUGAAACUCUAAAACAUGACACAAACCGACCCUCCAUUGGCUUAAACGGUCGACCAAUGAACGAAAACGGGUACAAAGCGUAGUGUGUUCGAAUUCUCGUAAAAGUUUCGUAAAGUCGUAUUCUUUGUAAAGGCUCAGUUCGAAGAUUGUUUAUGAGGGAGUCAGGGUUUUAUAUUCUUGCGAAAAUUGUGAUGUGAUCACAGUUUUUGCAAGAAUAUAAUACUCUGCCUCCCUCAUCAGGUAAUCGAAAUGGCUUGCUAGCAUUAGUGGAAGUUGAGGGGUGGAGGGAGUUCCAGUGUUCUUCUGGAGAAGAGGAGUUCCAGUGUUCUUCUGGAGAAGAGGAAACUGCCUUUGUGACUUUGACCUAAACAAUAACAAGAGAGGGGAACAGAACGUAACGAACAUCGGUAAUGUGUCCGACUACGGACCUGCCGUCGUCAUAACAUAAGGUGCUUUAAACUAACGUGCCGGACGUUCGACUAUAGUAGUCUAUUAGUGAUUUGUUCAUUCGUCAGUUUGGCAUUCUGUCUGCUCAAAAGGUUUACUACGAAUAUUGUUCCUUCGACGACCUCCCCCGUCUCGACUUAAUGGAUACCAAUCGGUCUUGGUACUAGUAGAGGAACGACGAAUAAGAGCCGAAGCUCGGUAAGCAGCGACGGCAGUUAGGUGACUGCGUCUAGACGAUGAUGUCUCUGAGGGUGUACUUGCUCUCGUGGAUGUCUCUCUUGGAACUCGAGGAUAGAUGACGCGAUAAGUCAUCACGGAGUAGGUGUGCUUGGUUGGAGUGGUUCCCGAAGCAGCCUUGACUGGUUCUGGCGUAUAUGCCGCAGCACCACACGGCGCCACUACCGCAGCAGCUACGGACGGGGUCGACGUAGUGGUGUCGUAAGGUCCUACACACCGCCCACACGUGUUUGGUGUUCCUCCGCGUAUAAGAUAUGUUCCUAACGUAGCAGGUGUAGAGACGCUUCCUAGAAUAGAUGCUGAGAUGACAACACGACUUGUCCAACGACCAGAAGUGCCUGUGGUGUUUUGUGUUAUACCUAGGGUUGUAGGGGUCGCUCCACUCUCGGUUCAUGUGGCUACAGUCGUAACUACCGUUGUAGUUCCACGACGAAGUUCUCUGUCGGUUUGUUCGUCGGAUGUUGAGCUGCUACUACAUGCGGUGGCCGGCGUACCUACAGAUGUCGUGUUAGGGCGACGAGAUGAGAGACCGCGUCACGUUGGACCUCAGGACCUGGAUGGCGGUUUACUGACAACCCUAACGGAGCUGUUAUAGUCCUCACGCCGCUUCUCAAAGAAGAUGGUCGUUGCACCACUUACCUAACGACCACACACCACGUUAAAGUCCAUAUCGUGUAUAGUCAAGAUGCUCCCAGUCGGGUACGUCGUAUAGUGGAACAGCCCACGACAUCUAGGUUGUUAUUUGUACGGCCGUGGGUUCGGCCGCGGUCCCGGUCAACUAGAAGGGUCCGUCUUUCUGCUCUGAGGGUCGGUAUUUGUGUUCUCAUUCGUUCUGAUAAAAUAUACAACUUUGUAAGGAAUUUUGUAUUGGUGGAUACAAACACACUUUAGAAAACAAAAUCCCUUAUAUUAUUUCCAAAACUAGUAAUGGUGACAACGCGAAGAUGAUCGUAGUAAAAAGACGAAGUAGCAAACCGAACCUGACCAGUUUUCCGUGUAUUUUCCAAACAAUUCCUUUACGUUG
RNAcentral lists this ribosomal RNA (4806 nucleotides) under Triticum aestivum (bread wheat). Its description in RNAcentral is "partial small subunit ribosomal RNA". Lineage: Eukaryota; Viridiplantae; Streptophyta; Magnoliopsida; Poales; Poaceae. The record is from RNAcentral.